GAAGGAACAACUACUUCAGAGUUCUAUAGGCAUGUGUAGCGAAAACGCAAAACUUUUACACUGUUAUCCAAUCUUAAAAGCUAACAUAUUUGACAUACAUUAUUAUUGUGAUAAAUGAAGGUAUAAUAAUAAGAAAAAAUAACUAUCAUUUAUUCUUUAUGUCAAUAUUUGCAUGAUAAAUAACGACAUUAUGGGGCUACUGUAGGGAUAAUAGAAAGAAUGUUAGAGUGAGAGAGAUCAAAGAGAAAUGAAGGAUGAGAGAGAGGUUACUAAUGUCUUGUUCACUUGAGUGGAUUAGGGGAAGAGUAUUUGAGAGGAUUUGAAGAUAAAUUUUGUUGUUUGAAUAGAUUUGGAGAUAAGUGAGAGUGAAUUUGGAAGUAAAUUUUUUUAAUCUGUAGCAUAAAUUAAAUCCUACACUAAUUCUCAUAAAAUUUACCUCUAAAUCCACUCUCGUUUACCUCCAAAUUCACUCAAAUAAAGAACAAAAAUUACAUUCAAAUUCUCUCAAAUCCAC
RNAcentral lists this long non-coding RNA (514 nucleotides) under Vigna radiata. RNAcentral describes it as "long non-coding RNA (VRAD_LNC001668)". The record is from RNAcentral. Lineage: Eukaryota; Viridiplantae; Streptophyta; Magnoliopsida; Fabales; Fabaceae.